UAGCUUAUAAGAUAACAAACUAAUUCAUGGUAAUCCAAUCAUUAAAAAUUUCAUUAUGUAAAUUAAAAGAUUAGUCGACUGGACUCUAGAGUUUAAAUUUGAGAAUAUGCACUAGAUAACUAUGGAUUGUAAAAGAACUAACAAAAUAGUCAUGGUUUCAGAGUACACUCUCUUUCUUCACUUUCAAUUACCUUUUUACCCAUUUUCGUAUUUUAUAUAUAUUACAUGCUAUUUUUCAAAAUCAUAUAAAACACUUAGAAUUAUCUCAUCUUUCUUUUUUCCACCACCACAACCACCACAUCUUCCACCAUCACAACCACCCGAUCUCUUUUUCGAUAAAUCUAGGCUGCCAAACGUUAUUUAUAUUGAUAGAUCAUCUCUCUUUCAAUUUGCAGAAGAUUUGUCAUUUUUUUAUUCGAUUUUGAUUCUUUCUUGGAAUCUCCGUCGUUAUGUUUUUUUUUUUAAAUUGUAUGUUAUUUUUUUUUAGGGUGAUUUGCAUAAAUAACCAUUUUUGAUAAACUAUUUAAAAAUAUAGCACCUUCAUAGAUAAAAUUAAGUAAAUAACACUACCGAGGAGUGAAAAG
Molecule: small RNA, 584 nt
Filed under: Arabidopsis thaliana (thale cress)
Lineage: Eukaryota; Viridiplantae; Streptophyta; Magnoliopsida; Brassicales; Brassicaceae
Description: ATSL061660
Source: RNAcentral